This 423-nucleotide long non-coding RNA is filed under the name Heterocephalus glaber (naked mole-rat). RNAcentral's name for it is "lncRNA (ENSHGLG00100047917.1)". Lineage: Eukaryota; Metazoa; Chordata; Mammalia; Rodentia; Bathyergidae. The record is from RNAcentral.
CUUCACUUCUAGCAAAGGACAAUCAAAGUAUGGGGACUUGGUCACUGAAUUUUUGGGGAGUCUUGGAAUACUUCCUGAAAACAGCCACUGAUAUAACCCAUAUUUCACUUGCCAAGGUUUUUUUUGGUACUGCGGAUCGAACUCGGGACCUUCCACUUGUGAGGCAGGCGAUGGCACCACUGAGCUAAAUCCCAGUUUCCUAGGCCUGCUGUGACAGAACUGCACAUUCGGUGGCGUAGGCCAGUAGAAGAAUGUGCCAGUGCCCACCAGAAAUCAUCGCCACAGAAGAGAUGCUAAAACUCAAAUGGACAAAAUGAGUCAUCUGUUGAUGUCAAUGAGUUUUCGUCCCCAACCAUUCCAGUUCUGGCAAAAAUGUCCAAUUUACAAAAUGGCCCUGUUGGUGUAGCUGGAGACAGGAUGAGC